AUAUUUUGAAUUAAGUAUAUUCAUAAUAUGUUAUCAGACGAAUGUUGUUAAAGAUAUAGGUUGAUGGUUGGCCGAUCUCCAUAAAGAAGAUCGACUGACAUUGCACACAAGGUGGAUAUGGAUUUAAAAAGUGCCAUAAAACACUUAUUAUGAAUGAUCCUUCCGCAGGUUCACCUACGGAAA
RNAcentral lists this unclassified non-coding RNA (183 nucleotides) under uncultured fungus. RNAcentral describes it as "sequence contains ITS1, 5.8S rRNA gene". Lineage: Eukaryota; Fungi. The record is from RNAcentral.